This 468-nucleotide ribosomal RNA is filed under the name uncultured bacterium. Its description in RNAcentral is "partial 16S ribosomal RNA". It matches the Rfam family "Bacterial small subunit ribosomal RNA", at positions 28 to 507 of the family's 1533-position model. The record is from RNAcentral.
GACGAACGCUGGCGGCGUGCUUAACACAUGCAAGUCGAACGGAAAGGCCCUGCUUUUGUGGGGUUCUCGAGUGGCGAACGGGUGAGUAACACGUGAGUAACCUGCCCUUGACUUUGGGAUAACUUCAGGAAACUGGGGCUAAUACCGGAUAGGAGCUCCUGCUGCAUGGUGGGGGUUGGAAAGUUUCGGCGGUUGGGGAUGGACUCGCGGCUUAUCAGCUUGUUGGUGGGGUAGUGGCUUACCAAGGCUUUGAUGGGUAGCCGGCCUGAGAGGGUGACCGGCCACAUUGGGACUGAGAUAGGGCCCAGACUCCUACGGGAGGCAGCAGUGGGGAAUAUUGCACAAUGGGCGGAAGCCUGAUGCAGCAACGCCGCGUGCGGGAUAACGGCCUUCGGGUGGUAAACCGCUUUCGCCGGUGACGAAGCGUGAGUGACGGUAAUGGGUAAAGAAGCACCGGCUAACUACGUG